Molecule: non-coding RNA, 74 nt
Organism: Spinacia oleracea (spinach)
Lineage: Eukaryota; Viridiplantae; Streptophyta; Magnoliopsida; Caryophyllales; Amaranthaceae
Source: Rfam
CGCGGGGUAGAGCAGUUUGGUAGCUCGCAAGGCUCAUAACAUUGAGGUCACGGGUUCAAAUCCUGUCUUCGCAA